RNAcentral lists this long non-coding RNA (1311 nucleotides) under Homo sapiens (human). Its description in RNAcentral is "HSALNT0234494". The record is from RNAcentral. Lineage: Eukaryota; Metazoa; Chordata; Mammalia; Primates; Hominidae.
CGCCGGCUGGCCAUGAAAGGCCCAGGGAGAGGCUGCGUCGCCUCAGGGCUUGGGCUGUUUCCCAAACUUACAGAUCCUAAGAAUCACCUGGAGUGGGGGAGGUGGAGGAGCAAAUGCUGGUUUAAAAUCCGGAUUCCCAGACCCCUCCCUGCCCAGUCACGGUUUGGAGCCGCCGGGAGCUGGGUUUUUAACGAGCCCCAGGUGAUCCUCUUGAGGAACCCAGGGUGGGCGGCUCUAAGGCGCCGGGAGCGAGGUGGCUGGAGCUCAGUCAGACUCACACCUGCGGCUGUGCACUCUGGACGGGUCACGUGGCCUUUCUGAGCCUCGGCAACCUAGCCUGUCAUUGAGCGGGGAGCAGCAGAAGGCUAAGACCCCCACCUCCAGGGCCCUGGGAGUGAGUCCAGGAACAGGAGCGACUGAGAGCCCUGCUGCCUUUGGCGCCUGCAUGGUCUCGGAUGGUCAGGGCCCCUGUCCUCGUCUGCAGGAUGAGCGCCGCUCUUGCUCGUCGUGGGACCUGAGCAGGUUUCUUAUAUUUUUAGCGCCUUGGUUUACUGCUCUGCAGAAUGGCCACCACGAUAGCGCCUCCUUCACAGUGACAUGGAGAGGCCCCAGCGGACAGUGCUGUACAGGAAGGUCUCGAGCAGGGCUUGGAGUAGAGAAUGUGCUGGUGUCCCCAUGACACCAUCCUCCUCCUCUUCAUCAUCAGAAGGCAGAUCAGCAUCCCCGGAGCAGAGGAUUUGAAAGCCCAGCCUUUCGGAUCCUAUCACCAUGGCUUCCGCUCCAGCCCAGAGAUGUCAAGGCUGGAAUUCCUGGGCUAGGUUCGAAAAUGCCCAGGGCAUUCCAGAAGGAAACUCUAGGUGGUGGAUAUAUGCAUGUACAUUUUAGAGACAAGGUCUCACUCUGUAGUCCAGGCUGGAGGGCACUGGCGCGAUCAUAGUUCACUGUAGGCUUGAACUCCUGGGUUCAAGCAAUACUCCCUCCUGAGUAGCUGGGACUACAGGUGCACAGAACCACACCCAGCUAAUUUUCUAAUUUUUAUUUUUAUGUAGAGAUGGGGUCUUUGCUCUGUUGCCCAGGCCUAUAAAUUAGAUUUGUGGUGUGUAAAAUUAGGUAAAUUAGGCUCCACCAGUGUUGGUUAUGGUAAAUGAUGUGCCUGAAACAUGGCAAAUACUCCAAAAAAUUUUUGAAUAUGUCUCCCAUAAACAGCAGAUCAUUCAAAUUUAUAUUUAACAGAACUUUCAUAUGAACGAUUUGCUUUAUAAUAGGGAAAUGUAGGCCGGGCGCAGUGGCUCAUGCCUGUAAUCCCAGCAC